This 66-nucleotide transfer RNA is filed under the name marine eukaryotic metagenome. It matches the Rfam family "tRNA", at positions 5 to 66 of the family's 71-position model. From Rfam's summary of the family: Transfer RNA (tRNA) molecules are approximately 80 nucleotides in length. The record is from RNAcentral.
GCUAUAGCUCAGUCGGUUAGAGCGCCUGGUUGUGGUCCAGGAGGUCGUCGGUUCGAAUCCGACUAG